Molecule: unclassified non-coding RNA, 472 nt
Filed under: Hevea brasiliensis (rubber tree)
Lineage: Eukaryota; Viridiplantae; Streptophyta; Magnoliopsida; Malpighiales; Euphorbiaceae
Source: RNAcentral
AAAAAAAAAAAAAAAAAGAACUGAGAGUAGUACAUGACAUAAAAAGUAUUUCAGAGGAUUUAAUCAUUUAGUACGGAGAAAGAGAAUUAAUACAAUCCACCCUAAAUUUUUUAAGAUAAAGAUUCAGUUGAGUUAUGUAACCUUAUUGAAAUUCAGUGACCAAGUUCACUGACAAUGAGCUAUGAAAAAGUUGCCAACUUCCAAAUAAUUCCUAACUUAUUGCCGAAUCAAUGAAUAAAUGAAUUAAAAAAACACAUGAAAUUUGAAGCACCAGCAAUAAAAUUAUAAAGAAAAAUAAAAAAGCAUGGACAAAAAUGGAAAAAGGAAAGGGAAGAAGGGGGGUGGGUAAUGUACAGUGUCCCAAAUCUGCAGCUUGAUGGGUCAGCCAUCGAUGGUUGCCAUACGAGCACCAAACUCAACACCGAUAGUGAGAUCGUGUACGGGUUGAAACCUCUUAUCCGUGAAUUGCAAG